This is a long non-coding RNA of Rana temporaria (common frog), 1541 nucleotides long. RefSeq lists it as uncharacterized. The record is from RefSeq and is a predicted model, not a curated record. NCBI's taxonomy places the organism in Eukaryota, Metazoa, Chordata, Amphibia, Anura, Ranidae. The transcript is spliced from 3 exons.
CCGUCCCGCUUUCCCUUGCUUCACUCUGAUUGGUCGGCUCUAGUUCAAACCUCAGGCCCCCUGGUGCCCAUAGAAACAGGGCUGCCCGUGCCGUUUGCCUGUUGCUGCAAAAUAAAAGAGAGGGCGGUGUUCUGUCAAAAGUUCCAUCAUGUCACGCUGCCCGUGUGGAAGUGUUUGAGGUGAGGAGAGGCGGGGCGGUGUGUACACAGGGUGGUACAGACAGGACUCCGGAAACGGCCAGCAGAACAACACACAAGGCCUAUUGAUGGGAGAUGAGAGGGAGCUUUCUGUUGUGUGAGAAGAACGCAUAAGCCGGGAGUGCAGCGUGUGUAUCUGUAACGUUUCCCACAAACAUUUUUCAAUUUUACGCGACUGUCUGUACCAACGUUUCAAUUUUUGUUGGAAAAGUUGCAUCCCCGUUUGGAAAGGAUGAACACGGAUAUGAGAUGUUGUGUGCCUCCAGAGGAGCGACUUCUACUUACCCUGAGGUUUCUGGCAUCUGGACUAUCCUAUACGUCCCUAAACCACUAUUUUUUUGUUGGGAACCUCUACAAUAUCCGGAAUUGUGCAUGACACCUGUCAAGCAAUAUGGGACGAGCUUCGGUGUACUGCGAUGCCUGUUCCAGAUACAUGCAUGUGGCAGGAAAUAGCAAAUGGUUUUUGAAAGAAAACCCAAUUCCCUAAUUGUGUUGGAGCCCUGGAUGGGAAACGCAUCCGAAUUCAGAUGCCACCUGGAUCUGGCUCACAAUAUUUUAACUACAAGAAAUACUUCUCCCUUGUGCUUAUGACAAUCUGUGAGAGUGAUUAUAAGUUUGUUGCUGUAGAUAUUGGGGCAUAUGGAUGUACUGCAGACUCAAGAGUGUUUACAGCAUCGCAAAUGGGGAGAAGACUACUUGAGGGCCACUUUCAUUUGCCAUCAGACAAACAUCUUCCAGGAACUGUAGGGCCAGAUAUGCCACAUGUGCUUGUAGCUGAUGAGGCAUUUGCACUUUCUCGGCAUCUCCUAAGGCCUUAUGCCAGGCACAAUCUAACUCCCCCCCCCCAAAAAAAAUGUUUUAAUUAUCGGUUGAGUCGUGCAAGGCGCCUUAUUGAAUGCAUCUUUGGCAUUUUGACCAGCAAGUGGCGCAUAUUCCAUACAACAAUAUAACUCAGCCUGGAGAAUGCCCAACUAGUUAUACAAGCAUGCUGUGUCCUCCAUAACAUUAUAUGUGAAAAAGAAGGAAUUACUGUUGAGGAAGAGGACGAGAUCAAUUUACCUUCUGUAUGGUUUACCGGACUGCGACCCAACAAUUCAGUCGUUGCCAUGCGUGAUACGUUUGCAAACUAUUUUAUGUCCCCAGAGGGAGAGGUUCCGUGGCAGUAUCGGCAUGUGUAAAAACUCUCACCAGGCACUUUAUUAUGUGCAACUUGCUAGUACCAUGUUUGACCCCAUUUUGCUACCCUGCAAUAUAUUUGUUUUCCCACAGAAAAUGGAAAUGCAAUAGUUUAACCACUUGCCGCCCGCCAAUGACAUAUUGACGGCGGCAAAGUGGUUGUAGAAU